AGAGUUUGAUCCUGGCUCAGGACGAACGCUGGCGGCGCGCUUAACACAUGCAAGUCGAGCGAGAACCAGGCCUUCGGGCCUGGGGAAAGCGGCGAACGGGUGAGUAACACGUGGGUAACCCACCCUUGGCACCGGGAUAGCCCGGGGAAACCCGGAGUAAUACCGGAUGGCCCNACAGCUCUUCGGGGCGGUUGGAAAGGUAGCUUCGGCCUCCGGCCAAGGACGGGCCCGCGGCGGAUUAGCUUGUUGGUGGGGUAACGGCCUACCAAGGCGACGAUCCGUAGCUGGUCUGAGAGGACGAUCAGCCACACUGGGACUGAGACACGGCCCAACUCCUACGGGAGGCAGCAGUGGGGAAUCUUGCGCAAUGGGCGAA
This 376-nucleotide ribosomal RNA is filed under the name uncultured Actinomycetes bacterium. Its description in RNAcentral is "bacterial SSU rRNA". It matches the Rfam family "Bacterial small subunit ribosomal RNA", at positions 8 to 379 of the family's 1533-position model. The record is from RNAcentral. Lineage: Bacteria; Bacillati; Actinomycetota; Actinomycetes.